AACGUAGGAGCCUAGCGUUAUCCGAAUUCACUGGGCGUAAAGCGCGUGCAGGCGGUUCGUUAAGUCAGAUGUGAAAGCCCCGGGCUUAACCUGGGAAUGGCAUUUGAGACUGGCGAGCUGGAGUCUGGCAGAGGGGGGUGGAAUUCCACGUGUAGCAGUGAAAUGCGUAGAGAUGUGGAGGAACACCGAUGGCGAAGGCAGCCCCCUGGGCUGAGACUGACGCUCAGGCACGAAGGCCAGGGGAGCAAACGGG
RNAcentral lists this ribosomal RNA (253 nucleotides) under uncultured prokaryote. RNAcentral describes it as "partial 16S ribosomal RNA". It matches the Rfam family "Bacterial small subunit ribosomal RNA", at positions 524 to 776 of the family's 1533-position model. The record is from RNAcentral.